CCUCCGAUUGGCUACCGCGCGCUCCCAGUGACCUCGCGCAGAAGGCCGGUCCCCCAGCGGUCCAGCUCCGCUCCGCCCGCCCGGGUAGAUCGGGCCUUCCUUCCUCGUGCCUUGGCGCCUCCCUAUUCCCUGAGUCGUUUCCCCGACUGCGCGCGAAAAACAAAGCCAUCGGCGCCGCAACCUGCUCGCCACAGGAGUAAUGACACUCGGCACUCAGCUGUUCGGGACUGCCAGAGCGCCUUCGAUCGCGGAGAUGAGCAGAGGUCAAUUACUUCCCAUUUGGGGAACUUGUGAACAUUAAGAGGUGACCAGAGUGACGGGGCCGAACGAUGCAGAUAAGAGGCUGAUUGCUUACAGAGCGGCUCCCUGGUAAAAGCCCUGCUGAGGAUAAGCAGUCAUCGGUAAGAGACACACACACAAAGGGGCAGCUUUUGGUGGGGAGGAGAGAUUGCAGAGACAGAAGACUGGCAGCUGGGGG
RNAcentral lists this long non-coding RNA (478 nucleotides) under Fukomys damarensis (Damara mole-rat). RNAcentral describes it as "lncRNA (ENSFDAG00000031796.1)". The record is from RNAcentral. Lineage: Eukaryota; Metazoa; Chordata; Mammalia; Rodentia; Bathyergidae.